GAUGAACGCUAGCGGCAGGCUUAACACAUGCAAGUCGAGGGGUAUAGGUUUUCGGACCUAGAGACCGGCGCACGGGUGCGUAACGCGUAUGCAAUCUACCUUGUACAGGGGGAUAGCCCAGAGAAAUUUGGAUUAAUACCCCAUAGUAUUAUAGAAUGGCACCAUUUUAUAAUUAAAGUUCCAACGGUACAAGAUGAGCAUGCGUCCCAUUAGCUAGUUGGUAUGGUAACGGCAUACCAAGGCUACGAUGGGUAGGGGUCCUGAGAGGGAGAUCCCCCACACUGGUACUGAGACACGGACCAGACUCCUACGGGAGGCAGCAGUGAGGAAUAUUGGUCAAUGGACGCAAGUCUGAACCAGCCAUGCCGCGUGCAGGAUGACGGUCCUAUGGAUUGUAAACUGCUUUUGUACGGGAAGAAACACUCCUACGUGUAGGAACUUGACGGUACUGUAAGAAUAAGGAUCGGCUAACUCCGUGCCAGCAGCCGCCGUAA
This 494-nucleotide ribosomal RNA is filed under the name uncultured bacterium. RNAcentral describes it as "partial 16S ribosomal RNA". It matches the Rfam family "Bacterial small subunit ribosomal RNA", at positions 28 to 523 of the family's 1533-position model. The record is from RNAcentral.